CUCGGAUCAGGUAGGGAUACCCGCUGAACUUAAGCAUAUCAAUAAGCGGAGGAAAAGAAACCAACCGGGAUUGCCUCAGUAACGGCGAGUGAAGCGGCAAGAGCUCAAAUUUGAAAGCUGGCUCCUUCGGGGUCCGCAUUGUAAUUUGCAGAGGAUGCUUCGGGUGCGGCCCCUGUCUAAGUGCCCUGGAACGGGCCGUCAGAGAGGGUGAGAAUCCCGUCUGGGAUGGGGUGUCCGCGCCCGUGUGAAGCUCCUUCGACGAGUCGAGUUGUUUGGGAAUGCAGCUCUAAAUGGGUGGUAAAUUUCAUCUAAAGCUAAAUACUGGCCGGAGACCGAUAGCGCACAAGUAGAGUGAUCGAAAGAUGAAAAGCACUUUGAAAAGAGAGUUAAAAAGCACGUGAAAUUGUUGAAAGGGAAGCGCUUGCGACCAGACUCGCCUCCAGGGUUCAGCCGGCAUUCGUGCCGGUGUACUUCCCUGGGGGCGGGCCAGCGUCGGUUUGGGCGGCCGGUCAAAGGCUCCCGGAAUGUAGUGCCCUCCGGGGCACCUUAUAGCCGGGAGUGCAAUGCGGCCAGCCUGGACCGAGGAACGCGCUUCGGCACGGACGCUGGCAUAAUGGUCGUAAACGACCCGUCUUGAAACACGGACCAAGGAGUCUAACAUCUACGCGAGUG
This 672-nucleotide ribosomal RNA is filed under the name Aspergillus flavus. RNAcentral's name for it is "eukaryotic LSU rRNA". It matches the Rfam family "Eukaryotic large subunit ribosomal RNA", at positions 1 to 692 of the family's 3401-position model. Lineage: Eukaryota; Fungi; Ascomycota; Eurotiomycetes; Eurotiales; Aspergillaceae. The record is from RNAcentral.